UUGUUUGGAUACUUACAACUCCACGUAACUCCAAGUAAACGAGUUGUUGCAGGGUGAUGACAGGAAAUAGGAUUAAAGGAAAAGGAAAAAAUUCAAACAUAUGAAUCUACAACAUCGUCUCAAUCAAAAGAAAUAUCAAGUUUAGAUUCAUUGGCUCAUGUUUUAGGAAGCCAAGAGCAUUGUGGACGUGUUCGCGGUCUAGGUUUGGGUCCUUGCCCAUCUAAAGUCUUUGGAGUCCAUGCUUGUUCUCAUGUUGGAUCAUCUUCAUCUACUCCUUCUAAUGUUGAAUUACAAUCUCAGGUAUCUUCAUUGACUUCUUCUAAUGUUAAAUUAGAAUCUCAGGUAUCUUCAUUGACAUACAAGUCAAUGAAAUGAAGGCAAUCAUGACACUUUUGUUGCAAAAUCAUCAAGGUCCAUUGCCUUCACAAUUUGCAGUAUUUCAAAGAUCAUCGGUAUCUGAUCAAGGGAGUGGGCCAAACAAUGGAUGUAAUGAAGAAAAAGAUUAGAUAUUGUUAUUGAAUACUUUUAUGAGUCAUACUUUUAGUAUUGAACAUUUAUAUUGAACAUAUGUAAUGAACUUCUUUCUUUUUAAUUUUUAUGUAUGAACAAUUAGUUGUAUGAAUGAUAUUAGGUUGAACAAUGUAGUUUAUUUUAUACAAUAUUAUUAAAUUUUAGUUCAUAUUAA
Long non-coding RNA from Vigna angularis (adzuki bean), 685 nucleotides. RefSeq lists it as uncharacterized. The record is from RefSeq and is a predicted model, not a curated record. Lineage: Eukaryota; Viridiplantae; Streptophyta; Magnoliopsida; Fabales; Fabaceae. The transcript is spliced from 5 exons.